This 582-nucleotide ribosomal RNA is filed under the name Crypthecodinium sp. D31. Its description in RNAcentral is "eukaryotic LSU rRNA". It matches the Rfam family "Eukaryotic large subunit ribosomal RNA", at positions 62 to 648 of the family's 3401-position model. Lineage: Eukaryota; Dinophyceae; Gonyaulacales; Crypthecodiniaceae. The record is from RNAcentral.
AAACCAAAUGGGAUUCUCUCAGUAAUGGCGAAUGAAGACAGAGUAGUCCACAGUGAUAAUUAGGCCAUCUGGUCUGAGUUGUAUUCUGAAGGGAAGGUGCUCGUACUGACAUCGGCGAAAGUCUCGUGGAAACGAGCCCCAGUGAAGGUGAGAGGCCUGCACAUCGCUGCUUGUUUUGUACGAACAGUACCUCUUCCUGGAGUCACACUCUUCGGGAUUGGAGUGCUGGAUAGGUGGUAAAUCUCAUCUACGACUACAUAAAGGUCUGGAACCGAUAGCAGAGAAGUACCAUGAGGGAAAUGUGAAAAGGACUUUGAGAAGAGAGUUAAACAGUAUGUGAAACUGCUGAAAGGGAAGUGUAUGUAGAGCAUGCAAUUUGUGGUAAGAUUGUGCUGUCUUGGAUUCGACUUGAGGCUCUUUUGUUUUAAGUGGUGUCUUUCGACGGCAUGUUUCUUUCCCAAUGAGCUAGCCAUUAUGUCCUUCAACGAAAACCAAGUGUCUUUCUUCAUUUCUCUGCGGGGGUUUGAAGGGUCGCUCUGGGAUGUUGGAGGUAAAUGUGGUUGGUAAUGAUCUGCAUACGAC